This 253-nucleotide ribosomal RNA is filed under the name uncultured bacterium. RNAcentral's name for it is "partial 16S ribosomal RNA". It matches the Rfam family "Archaeal small subunit ribosomal RNA", at positions 474 to 727 of the family's 1478-position model. The record is from RNAcentral.
UACCAGCACCCCGAGUGGUCGGGACGUUUAUUGGGCCUAAAGCGUCCGUAGCCGGUUCUACAAGUCUUCCGUUAAAUCCACCUGCUUAACUGAUGGGCUGCGGAAGAUACUAUAGAGCUAGGAGGCGGGAGAGGCAAGCGGUACUCGAUGGGUAGGGGUAAAAUCCGUUGAUCCAAUGAAGACCACCAGUGGCGAAGGCGGCUUGCCAGAACGCGCUCGACGGUGAGGGAUGAAAGCUGGGGGAGCAAACCGG